UACGUAGGGGGCAAGCGUUGUCCGGAAUCAUUGGGCGUAAAGCGCGUGUAGGCGGUUCAGUAAGUCUGCUGUGAAAGUCCAGGGCUCAACCCUGGGAUGCCGGUGGAUACUGUCGGACUAGAGUACGGAAGAGGCGAGUGGAAUUCCCGGUGUAGUGGUGAAAUGCGUAGAUAUCGGGAGGAACACCAGUGGCGAAGGCGACUUCCUGGCCUGUUCUUGACGCUGAGGCGCGAAAGCUAGGGUAGCAAACGGGGAUUAA
Molecule: ribosomal RNA, 259 nt
Filed under: uncultured bacterium
Lineage: Bacteria
Description: partial 16S ribosomal RNA
Rfam family: Bacterial small subunit ribosomal RNA
Source: RNAcentral